CAAAAGUCUGCGCCUGCCUCCGUCUCCCUCUAUGAAACGUGACAAAAACAGUUCUCUUGUACGAUGGGCCCAGAGGGCUGCAAGCCAGAUGGGUACCCCUGGUCGUGUCAGCACAUCUGCGUUUUCAUGCCUGGAGCUGGCCCUGGAGAUGACACGAUAAGAGCUUGGCCAUCCACUGAAGAGGAGUGGUCCAUGACCAGACAGAACCUCCGGCCUCCCCACCUCCCUCUGGGGACCAUCAGACCUUCACUUGGAUGUUCUUCUCGCUCAGGAAAGAAACCGGUGCAGUGGAAUGUGAGGAUCAGAUAUCUGAAAAUUCUGUGUCUCAUGGUGACUUUGAAGAGGAAGAUAAGAUUGAGCAUCAGCUAGUUCCAAAAAAAGACAAACCACAGAACCAGCCCACUCCAGGACCAGCCCGUCAGCAGCCAGCUCCAGGACCAGCCUGUCAGCAGCCAGCCCCAGGACCAGAACAAGCCCGUCAGUAGCCAGCCCCAGGACCAGAACAAGCCCGUCAGCAGCCAGCCCCAGGACCAGAACAAGCCCGUCAGCAGCCAGCCCCAGGACCAGAACAAGCCCGUCAGCAGCC
Molecule: long non-coding RNA, 586 nt
Organism: Esox lucius (northern pike)
Lineage: Eukaryota; Metazoa; Chordata; Actinopteri; Esociformes; Esocidae
Exons: 3
Source: RefSeq, a predicted model, not a curated record